Molecule: ribosomal RNA, 492 nt
Filed under: uncultured bacterium
Lineage: Bacteria
Description: partial 16S ribosomal RNA
Rfam family: Bacterial small subunit ribosomal RNA
Source: RNAcentral
AGUGAACGCCGGCGGUAGGCCUAACACAUGCAAGUCGAACGGCAGCACAGUAAGAGCUUGCUCUUACGGGUGGCGAGUGGCGGACGGGUGAGGAAUACAGCGGAAUCUACUUUUUCGUGGGGGAUAACGUAGGGAAACUUACGCUAAUACCGCAUACGACCUACGGGUGAAAGCAGGGGAUCUUCGGACCUUGCGCGAUUGAAUGAGCCGAGGUCGGAUUAGCUAGUUGGCGGGGUAAAGGCCCACCAAGGCGACGAUCCGUAGCUGGUCUGAGAGGGUGGUCAGCCACACGGGAACUGAGACACGGUCCAGACUCCUACGGGAGGCAGCAGUGGGGAAUAUUGGACAAUGGGCGCAAGCCUGAUCCAGCCAUACCGCGUGGGUGAAGAAGGCCUUCGGGUUGUAAAGCCCUUUUGUUGGGAAAGAAAAGCAGCAGGUUAAUACCCCGCUGUUCUGACGGUACCCAAAGAAUAAGCACCGGCUAACUUCGUG